This 71-nucleotide transfer RNA is filed under the name Hoplolatilus cuniculus (dusky tilefish). RNAcentral's name for it is "tRNA-Val". It matches the Rfam family "tRNA". Rfam says of the family: Transfer RNA (tRNA) molecules are approximately 80 nucleotides in length. Their secondary structure includes four short double-helical elements and three loops (D, anti-codon, and T loops). The record is from RNAcentral. Lineage: Eukaryota; Metazoa; Chordata; Actinopteri; Malacanthidae.
CGGGGCAUAGUUUAACAGUAAGACGGCUCCCUUACGGAGAGAAAAUAUCCGUGAAAAUCGGGUUGCCCUGA